GGCGGGAUUACCCGCUGAGUUUAACAUAUCAAUAAGCGG
This 39-nucleotide ribosomal RNA is filed under the name Canarium album. RNAcentral describes it as "partial 26S ribosomal RNA". Lineage: Eukaryota; Viridiplantae; Streptophyta; Magnoliopsida; Sapindales; Burseraceae. The record is from RNAcentral.